This 205-nucleotide ribosomal RNA is filed under the name uncultured bacterium. RNAcentral describes it as "partial 16S ribosomal RNA". It matches the Rfam family "Bacterial small subunit ribosomal RNA", at positions 1298 to 1500 of the family's 1533-position model. The record is from RNAcentral.
UUGUAGUCUGCAACUCGACUACAUGAAGCUGGAAUCGCUAGUAAUCGCGAAUCAGAAUGUCGCGGUGAAUACGUUCCCGGGUCUUGUACACACCGCCCGUCACACCAUGGGAGUCAGUAACGCCCGAAGCCGGUGACCCAACCAGUUCAGGAGGGAGCCGUCGAAGGUGGGACCGAUAACUGGGGUGAAGUCGUAACAAGGUAAC